GUGCUUGCUUUAGUAACACAUAUACUAAAAUUGAAAUGAUGCAGAAAAGAUUAGCAUGGCCCCUGCACAAGGCUGAUAUGCAAAUUCAUAAAGCAUUCCAUAUUUUU
This is a small nuclear RNA of Jaculus jaculus (lesser Egyptian jerboa), 107 nucleotides long. The record is from Ensembl. Lineage: Eukaryota; Metazoa; Chordata; Mammalia; Rodentia; Dipodidae.